GAUUUUUAAAAAAUAAUAUAUAAAAAUAACGCUCGAUGAUGGGAAAAAUAUAGAAAAAUUCUGGAAAAUAGCAGAGGGUCUUAGGAUUGGGAUUCAGCUCGGCGGUGGAGAAGAUUGUGUUAUUUUGGUGUUUUUUGACGUCGCUUUUUGAGCGGGAGUAACGGACGAGCUGCUGCGCAGAUACACGCAGUUCAGUCCGAGUCUGUGACGAAUCACACUCUGAACCUAGAUUAGAGAGGACACAUCAGCCUUUUUAACCGGAAAGGAAUGUAGAGCACACACAUGACACUGAGCUGUGACAUAGUCAACUAACUGUUGCGAAACGCGGAGGGUGUCUGUGCGGCGGUGUGGACGCGCGUGCGCUCGGCGCGGGGCCUGUCGGUAC
Carassius gibelio (silver crucian carp) is the source of this 385-nucleotide long non-coding RNA. RefSeq lists it as uncharacterized. NCBI's taxonomy places the organism in Eukaryota, Metazoa, Chordata, Actinopteri, Cypriniformes, Cyprinidae. The transcript has 3 exons. The record is from RefSeq and is a predicted model, not a curated record.